This 1232-nucleotide ribosomal RNA is filed under the name metagenome. RNAcentral describes it as "bacterial SSU rRNA". It matches the Rfam family "Bacterial small subunit ribosomal RNA", at positions 242 to 1499 of the family's 1533-position model. The record is from RNAcentral.
UAGCUAGUUGGUGAGGUAAUGGCCCACCAAGGCGACGAUCGGUAGCCGGACUGAGAGGUUGAACGGCCACAUUGGGACUGAGACACGGCCCAGACUCCUACGGGAGGCAGCAGUGGGGAAUAUUGCACAAUGGGGGAAACCCUGAUGCAGCGACGCCGCGUGGAGGAAGAAGGUCUUCGGAUUGUAAACUCCUGUUGUUGAGGAAGAUAAUGACGGUACUCAACAAGGAAGUGACGGCUAACUACGUGCCAGCAGCCGCGGUAAAACGUAGGUCACAAGCGUUGUCCGGAAUUACUGGGUGUAAAGGGAGCGCAGGCGGGCGAUCAAGUUGGAAGCGAAAUCCAUGGGCUCAACCCAUGAACUGCUUUCAAAACUGAUUGUCUUGAGUAGUGCAGAGGUAGGCGGAAUUCCCGGUGUAGCGGUGGAAUGCGUAGAUAUCGGGAGGAACACCAGUGGCGAAGGCGGCCUACUGGGCACCAACUGACGCUGAGGCUCGAAAGUGUGGGUAGCAAACAGGAUUAGAUACCCUGGUAGUCCACACCGUAAACGAUGAUUACUAGGUGUUGGAGGAUUGACCCCUUCAGUGCCGCAGUUAACACAAUAAGUAAUCCACCUGGGGAGUACGACCGCAAGGUUGAAACUCAAAGGAAUUGACGGGGGCCCGCACAAGCAGUGGAGUAUGUGGUUUAAUUCGACGCAACGCGAGGAACCUUACCAAGUCUUGACAUCCUGCGACGAUGCUAGAAAUAGUAUUUUCCUUCGGGACGCAGAGACAGGUGGUGCAUGGUUGUCGUCAGCUCGUGUCGUGAGAUGUUGGGUUAAGUCCCGCAACGAGCGCAACCCUUAUGGUCAGUUACUACGCAAGAGGACUCUGGCCAGACUGCCGUUGACAAAACGGAGGAAGGUGGGGAUGACGUCAAAUCAUCAUGCCCUUUAUGACUUGGGCUACACACGUACUACAAUGGCGUUAAACAAAGAGAAGCAAGACCGCGAGGUGGAGCAAAACUCAGAAACAACGUCCCAGUUCGGACUGCAGGCUGCAACUCGCCUGCACGAAGUCGGAAUUGCUAGUAAUCGUGGAUCAGCAUGCCACGGUGAAUACGUUCCCGGGCCUUGUACACACCGCCCGUCACACCAUGAGAGCCGGGGGGACCCGAAGUCGGUAGUCUAACCGCAAGGAGGACGCCGCCGAAGGUAAAACUGGUGAUUGGGGUGAAGUCGUAACAAGGUAG